RNAcentral lists this ribosomal RNA (867 nucleotides) under uncultured Enterobacteriaceae bacterium. RNAcentral describes it as "bacterial SSU rRNA". It matches the Rfam family "Bacterial small subunit ribosomal RNA", at positions 662 to 1532 of the family's 1533-position model. Lineage: Bacteria; Pseudomonadati; Pseudomonadota; Gammaproteobacteria; Enterobacterales; Enterobacteriaceae. The record is from RNAcentral.
UAGAAUUCCAGGUGUGCGGUGAAAUGCGUAGAGAUCUGGAGGAAUACCGGUGGCGAAGGCGGCCCCUGGACGAAGACUGACGCUCAGGUGCGAAAGCGUNGGGAGCAAACAGGAUUAGAUACCUGGUAGUCACGCCGUAAACGAUGUCGACUUGGGAGGUUGUGCCCUUGAGGCGUGGCUUCCGGAGCUAACGCGUUAAGUCGACCGCCUGGGGAGUACGGCCGCAAGGUUAAAACUCAAAUGAAUUGACGGGGGCCCGCACAAGCGGUGGAGCAUGUGGUUUAAUUCGAUGCAACGCGAAGAACCUUACCUGGUCUUGACAUCCACGGAAGUUUUCAGAGAUGAGAAUGUGCCUUCGGGAACCGUGAGACAGGUGCUGCAUGGCUGUCGUCAGCUCGUGUUGUGAAAUGUUGGGUUAAGUCCCGCAACGAGCGCAACCCUUAUCCUUUGUUGCCAGCGGUCCGGCCGGGAACUCAAAGGAGACUGCCAGUGAUAAACUGGAGGAAGGUGGGGAUGACGUCAAGUCAUCAUGGCCCUUACGACCAGGGCUACACACGUGCUACAAUGGCGCAUACAAAGAGAAGCGACCUCGCGAGAGCAAGCGGACCUCAUAAAGUGCGUCGUAGUCCGGAUUGGAGUCUGCAACUCGACUCCAUGAAGUCGGAAUCGCUAGUAAUCGUGGAUCAGAAUGCCACGGUGAAUACGUUCCCGGGCCUUGUACACACCGCCCGUCACACCAUGGGAGUGGGUUGCAAAAGAAGUAGGUAGCUUAACCUUCGGGAGGGCGCUUACCACUUUGUGAUUCAUGACUGGGGUGAAGUCGUAACAAGGUAACCGUAGGGGAACCUGCGGCUGGAUCACCUCCUU